GGGGAUCUGCCCGAUAGAGGGGGAUAACCACUGGAAACGGUGGCUAAUACCGCAUAACGUCGCAAGACCAAAGAGGGGGACCUUCGGGCCUCUCACUAUCGGAUGAACCCAGAUGGGAUUAGCUAGUAGGCGGGGUAAUGGCCCACCUAGGCGACGAUCCCUAGCUGGUCUGAGAGGAUGACCAGCCACACUGGAACUGAGACACGGUCCAGACUCCUACGGGAGGCAGCAGUGGGGAAUAUUGCACAAUGGGCGCAAGCCUGAUGCAGCCAUGCCGCGUGUAUGAAGAAGGCCUUCGGGUUGUAAAGUACUUUCAGCGGGGAGGAAGGCGAUGUGGUUAAUAACCGCAUCGAUUGACGUUACCCGCAGAAGAAGCACCGGCUAACUCCGUGCCAGCAGCCGCGGUAAUACGGAGGGUGCAAGCGUUAAUCGGAAUUACUGGGCGUAAAGCGCACGCAGGCGGUCUGUUAAGUCAGAUGUGAAAUCCCCGGGCUUAACCUGGGAACUGCAUUUGAAACUGGCAGGCUUGAGUCUUGUAGAGGGGGGUAGAAUUCCAGGU
RNAcentral lists this ribosomal RNA (559 nucleotides) under uncultured bacterium. RNAcentral describes it as "bacterial SSU rRNA". It matches the Rfam family "Bacterial small subunit ribosomal RNA", at positions 120 to 674 of the family's 1533-position model. The record is from RNAcentral.